This 326-nucleotide ribosomal RNA is filed under the name uncultured eukaryote. RNAcentral describes it as "partial 18S ribosomal RNA". It matches the Rfam family "Eukaryotic small subunit ribosomal RNA", at positions 1470 to 1796 of the family's 1831-position model. The record is from RNAcentral.
CCCUUAGAUGUUCUGGGCCGCACGCGCGCUACACUGACGAAUGCAACGAGCUUAUAACCUUGGCCGAAAGGUCUGGGUAAUCUCCAAAUUUCGUCGUGAUGGGGAUAGAUUAUUGCAAUUAUUAAUCUUCAACGAGGAAUGCCUAGUAAGCGCAAGUCAUCAGCUUGCGUUGAUUACGUCCCUGCCCUUUGUACACACCGCCCGUCGCUCCUACCGAUUGAAUGGUCCGGUGAAGCGUUCGGACCGUGGCUUUGGACGGUUCGCCGUCUGUUGGCUGCGGGAAGUUCGUUAAACCUUAUCAUUUAGAGGAAGGAGAAGUCGUAACA